This 483-nucleotide ribosomal RNA is filed under the name Streptococcus peroris. RNAcentral's name for it is "bacterial SSU rRNA". It matches the Rfam family "Bacterial small subunit ribosomal RNA", at positions 28 to 495 of the family's 1533-position model. The record is from RNAcentral. Lineage: Bacteria; Bacillati; Bacillota; Bacilli; Lactobacillales; Streptococcaceae.
GAUGAACGCUGGCGGCGUGCCUAAUACAUGCAAGUAGAACGCUGAAGGAGGAGCUUGCUUCUCUGGAUGAGUUGCGAACGGGUGAGUAACGCGUAGGUAACCUGCCUGGUAGCGGGGGAUAACUAUUGGAAACGAUAGCUAAUACCGCAUAAGAGCAGUUGUUGCAUGACAGCUGUUUAAAAGGUGCAAUUGCACCACUACCAGAUGGACCUGCGUUGUAUUAGCUAGUUGGUGAGGUAACGGCUCACCAAGGCGACGAUACAUAGCCGACCUGAGAGGGUGAUCGGCCACACUGGGACUGAGACACGGCCCAGACUCCUACGGGAGGCAGCAGUAGGGAAUCUUCGGCAAUGGGGGCAACCCUGACCGAGCAACGCCGCGUGAGUGAAGAAGGUUUUCGGAUCGUAAAGCUCUGUCGUAAGAGAAGAACGAGUGUGAGAGUGGAAAGUUCACACUGUGACGGUAUCUUACCAGAAAGGGACG